CUUCGACGGAGGCUCAAAAAAAAUGUUUAUAGUCCUUUUUGAGAAGGACUCUCUUCCGUCGUUUGAAUUUCACCCUACAUGGUUAGUGGGAGAGUUCUCAGGUUGCCCCGUGAGUCUACCCGCAUUCUCACUAGGAAUUACAGCGGCACUCUGAGCUAGUUGUGUUUCUAUCAUUUUAUUAAAUCACAGUUGGUUUUGUACGGAAGAGGC
RNAcentral lists this long non-coding RNA (210 nucleotides) under Sorghum bicolor (sorghum). RNAcentral's name for it is "long non-coding RNA (SBIC_LNC008533)". Lineage: Eukaryota; Viridiplantae; Streptophyta; Magnoliopsida; Poales; Poaceae. The record is from RNAcentral.